CCUUCCCAUAACUCAGGGAUAGCCUUUCGAAAGAAAGAUUAAUACCUGAUAGUACUUUUUCAAGGCAUCUUGAGAAAGUUAAAGAUUUAUUGGUUAUGGAUGGGGAUGCGUUCCAUUAGAUAGUUGGUGAGGUAACGGCUCACCAAGUCUUCGAUGGAUAGGGGUUCUGAGAGGAAGGUCCCCCACAUUGGUACUGAGACACGGACCAAACUCCUACGGGAGGCAGCAGUGAGGAAUAUUGGUCAAUGGGCGAGAGCCUGAACCAGCCAAGUAGCGUGAAGGAAUGAAGGUCCUAUGGAUUGUAAACUUCUUUUAUAGUAGAAUAAAGUGAUCCACGUGUGGAUUUUUGUAUGUAUACUAUGAAUAAGGAUCGGCUAACUCCGUGCCAGCCGCGGC
This 396-nucleotide ribosomal RNA is filed under the name uncultured bacterium. Its description in RNAcentral is "bacterial SSU rRNA". It matches the Rfam family "Bacterial small subunit ribosomal RNA", at positions 125 to 518 of the family's 1533-position model. The record is from RNAcentral.